AGGCCCAAUUCCAAUUUCUAAAGGUGUUCCCAGUUUAGAAACAGAAGGGAUGUAAAUUUCAUCAAAAAUCAAGGGGGGUUACAGUAAUUUGCUCUAAGGUGAAUUGAGAAGCUCAUCUAAUUAGAAAAGGACAAAUAGUACGAGACUGUAAAAGAGAUGCACUAGGAAAUUUCCUUCAGAGAAGUUUCCGUGGGAGGCUGUAAGAACCUUUAUUGAUGCUGUGCAGAAAGAAGAAGGUUCCUAGAAAUGAUCUGUGCUUUUGGUUGAUCGA
RNAcentral lists this long non-coding RNA (271 nucleotides) under Ricinus communis (castor bean). RNAcentral describes it as "long non-coding RNA (RCOM_LNC002401)". Lineage: Eukaryota; Viridiplantae; Streptophyta; Magnoliopsida; Malpighiales; Euphorbiaceae. The record is from RNAcentral.